This 91-nucleotide transfer RNA is filed under the name Blautia sp. Its description in RNAcentral is "tRNA-Ser". It matches the Rfam family "tRNA". From Rfam's summary of the family: Transfer RNA (tRNA) molecules are approximately 80 nucleotides in length. Lineage: Bacteria; Bacillati; Bacillota; Clostridia; Lachnospirales; Lachnospiraceae. RNAcentral also lists the same sequence under 1 other name. The record is from RNAcentral.
GGAGAUGUACCCAAGUGGCUGAAGGGUCCGCACUCGAAAUGCGGUAGGUCGGGCAACCGGCGCGAGGGUUCAAAUCCCUCCAUCUCCGCCA